GAUGAACGCUGGCGGCGUGCCUAAUACAUGCAAGUCGAACGAACAGACAAGGCGCUUGCUCCUUUGACGUUAGCGGCAGACGGGUGAAUAACACGUGUAUACCCUACCUAUAAUACUGAUAUAACUUCGGGAAACCGGCGAUAAUCCCGGAUAACAUUUUGCACCACGGGGUUCUAUAGUGAAAGUCGGUGGUGCUGUAACUUAUAGAUGGAUCCGCGCCGUAGUAGCUAGUUGGGAAGGUAACAGCUUACCAAGGCAACGAUGCGUAGCCGACCUGAGAGGGUGAUAGGCCACACUGGAACUGAGACACGGUCAAGACUCCUACGGUAGGCAGCAGUAGGGAAUCUGCCGCAAUGGGCGAAAGCCUGACGGAGCAACGCCGAGUGAGUGAUGAAGGUCUUCGGAUCGUAAAACUCGGUUAUUAGGGAAGAACAAAUGUGUAAGUAACUGUGCACGUCUUGACGGUACCUAAUCAGAAAGCCACGGCUAACUACGUG
This 497-nucleotide ribosomal RNA is filed under the name uncultured bacterium. RNAcentral describes it as "partial 16S ribosomal RNA". It matches the Rfam family "Bacterial small subunit ribosomal RNA", at positions 28 to 507 of the family's 1533-position model. The record is from RNAcentral.